RNAcentral lists this ribosomal RNA (609 nucleotides) under Backusella constricta. Its description in RNAcentral is "LSU rRNA". It matches the Rfam family "Eukaryotic large subunit ribosomal RNA", at positions 104 to 629 of the family's 3401-position model. The record is from RNAcentral. Lineage: Eukaryota; Fungi; Mucoromycota; Mucoromycetes; Mucorales; Backusellaceae.
AGAGCUCAAAGUUGGAAUCCGGCUGCCCUAGGUAGUUGGAAUUGUAAACUGGAGAGGUGUUUUCCAGGCGAGCCAAGCAAAUAAGUCCUUUGGAACAGGGCAUCAUAGAGGGUGAGAAUCCCGUCUUUGGCUUGAGCAUUGCCUUUUGCGAUACACUUUCAAAGAGUCAGGUUGUUUGGGAAUGCAGCCUAAAUUGGGUGGUAAAUCUCACCUAAAGCUAAAUAUUGGCGAGAGACCGAUAGCGAACAAGUACCGUGAGGGAAAGAUGAAAAGAACUUUGAAAAGAGAGUUAAACAGUAUGUGAAAUUGUUGAAAGGGAACCGUUUGGAGCCAGACCGGCUGUUCUAUAAUCAAUCUCUGCUUCGGUAGGGAUGCACUUGUAGGGCUUUAGCCUGCCAACAGCAAUUUUCUUUGGUGGAAAAAACUAGAAGGAAUGUGGCCCCUCGGGGUGUUAUAGCCUCUUAGAAAAUACACUGAAGGGGAUUGAGGACUGCAGCAAAUGCUUUUGGCGAAAUAACUGGGUGCUUGUGUUAAGGAAGUAUAGAAUUUCUGCUUCGGGUGGUGCUAUGCUCUAAGAUGCAACUCGCUUAGACUAUUUUCUAUUUGCUU